Anopheles moucheti is the source of this 2646-nucleotide long non-coding RNA. RefSeq lists it as uncharacterized. The transcript is spliced from 2 exons. The record is from RefSeq and is a predicted model, not a curated record. NCBI's taxonomy places the organism in Eukaryota, Metazoa, Arthropoda, Insecta, Diptera, Culicidae.
ACCUGGCUCGAAAUCCAUCACUGCUGCUACUCCACCUCUCCGAACCGAAGAAAUAACGAACGUUUUAACACUGCACAUGCAUAUAGGUGAUAAAAUUAUGAUGAAUACGGCGUUAAGAGCUCAGCUCUCACUCCUCAUCGUCGUCGUCGUCAUUGUUUCCUGCGCCCGCAUUGAAGAAGGCAGAUGACACAUCCCAAAAAAGUAAUACAUUGCUCUUAAGGUAGUUAAGAAUUUAAAUAGUUUUAAAGCUGCGCUGCUGGCUGAUAUGCAAACAAGAAAUACAGCAAGUCAACACACAUUCGUAAAUCCAAACAAAAUACUGUGUUGCGGAUGAAGUACGUUCAUCAAUGGUUUAAAAAUGAUGGUGUGGGUAGCUGAACGCAAAAGCGCAAAACCUGCGAGAUUAACACUGGAAGCGAUUUAAAGCGAUAAACAGUCGAGAAUAGGGGAAAUGAUGGCGUAAAACAAAAAGCAAAAAAAAGAAACCUAAAAAGUGUCUUUUGAAAGUCAGCGGUUUCGCGUCUGGCGUAGUAUUAAGGUGUUGUGAAUGUUUUUAUCAUUUUUUAAACAAUGUAAUCUUAUACAAUUUAAAUAAUAUAUUAUAUAUAUUUGAGAAGAAUGGACGACAUGAGAUGGAAUAAUUAAUUGGAUAGAAAGCAAAACAAAACAAAAACAACAAAAAAAAAACAAACAAGCAAGACAUUUUGAAUAAGAACGCGAAAGCACAUUAAUAAUACAACAAAAUGGUCUUGACAAAAAUUACUAAAAAACAAAAAAAAAAACAGUAAAAAUUGAGACGAAACUUAAAGAAUGCUAUGUACGUGUAUAUAUGUACGUAGGUUCCAAAUGACUCGGGCCGGCAAGAUACAUUUCAAGUCAAAGAGAAAAAUCUAGCUCUAGUAAGCGAGUUAGGUCGGAGCAAAUUUGUUUUGUUGAUUUUUGUUUAACGAAAAAUACAAACUCUUCCCCACCCCUUUUUCUCUCCAAAGCGAGACAUAUUUUCCUUCCGCCUCAUCAUGAGAAAAUCUCAAACGAUGAUUUAGUAGUGAAACCACAGGGUGUGAUAAGAAUAAGAUAGAUGUUGCGGUGAGCGUUUAGCGAGAAGUUGACCAAAAUUUGCUUCUCUUGCAUUGUUGGUGAAAUGAUGAAGUAAUAUUAAACAAACGGAAGUGUGCUACAAAUGAAAUCGAAAGCUAAUAAUGUUAUUAUUGCUAUAAGUUAUUGUGUACUCGAUGCAUAUACAGAAUGUAGAUAUUUAGCAUUUGUCUUAAGUGAUUUUUCUCCUUUUUUUAUUUUUUUAAAACAUAAAUUAUAUCCAUCCACUUUCUUCCUUGUACGGAGAGUUGUCCCUCUUCUUUUUAUUUCUGUUUCUGAAGUUAUGGAAGAGACGGAAGAAACAGUACUAACUCUAAAUAGUGGAGGAAGAAUAACGCGAAGAACAGAGCUGUGGAAUAAUGAAAUACAUAAACAUAUAUCUACAUAUACAAUACAAUAUGGAUAUAUCAAAAGCAACAACAAAAAAACAUUUCCUUUUAUGACGCUUGUAGAAUCGGCUGUUUUGUGAAUAGAAGAGACACAAACAUUGCAUACACUCAGCCAAACAAAGCAAAUUAAUAAAGUGUAGUACACUAAGUAACUAAUACUAAAUCCACCCUGCCCCUUCCUCCCUCGGACCUGAUGUGAGGUCAUAAAUCACAUACGUAGCGCGUGCAUAAGAAUAGUGUCUAAGGAUGAUGUGUACCGUAAUGGAUAAGAACAACAAAACAAACAAACAAACAAAAAAAGAAAAAAAAAACGUAAAACCAAAACAGGAAAAUGAUAAAAUCAAAAACAAAAAAAAAGAAACUUAGCAUUAAGAAAUUAGUCAAGAAAAUGAGUAGUAGAAUGAUUCAUUCUACCAUUUUCUAUUUCAAUGUGCACCUUAUUUCGCGCUCUCAUCGCACAAGCGCGCCAUAUGCGACGUGCCGUUGCCUAGUUCUACCCGUGCCGUGCGUCCUACUUACCUUCGUUUUUUUUUGCGCACGGAAGCCAUGGGUUCUUCAGUGUGUAGCAACAUCAGCAGGUGUGUGUGUAUAAAGGAGACGUCUUGUGUCGACUGUCUCUCGCGUUUUUAUGCAUCAACGGCCAACGGUCCUAACCAAACGACAGCUAAGCCAGUAGCUAAUGUAGCUGAUUCACAAUUGCGCUUUCCAUAGACUUACACCGCACCGGUAAGAAUCGCCGCUCGCAUAUCUCCGUACCUCGUCGUCCAAGGUUCUCUAUUGUUUUUUUUUUAUGUUUACUGUUUUGCUCGGUUUUAGCUAUGACUGUUUUGUUUCUGAAAUAACAAUGUGAGAUUAAAAAGACCUGCAGAGAAAGUGAGCGAACGAAUUAAUAAUUUAACGUAAUAUAUAAGAUAUUGAAAGUACGUACCGCCGAGUGAAUGGAUGAGGGUAUGGAAUUAAACAAAAAAAAAACACGAACAUAAUAAUAAAAGUGAGGAACAGAAGAGAAACAGAGAGAGGGGAAGAGAAGUAAUCACAUAUGCCUAUCGUGUUAGUUGGACGAGGAAGCAGAAGAAGAUAAAAUAAAGAUGCACUUAUGAUAAGCAAAAUCAAAAACAAACUCAACAACAAAACCAAAUCGACCAGGAAAGACAUUGAGCAA